RNAcentral lists this transfer RNA (85 nucleotides) under Felis catus (domestic cat). It matches the Rfam family "tRNA". From Rfam's summary of the family: Transfer RNA (tRNA) molecules are approximately 80 nucleotides in length. Their secondary structure includes four short double-helical elements and three loops (D, anti-codon, and T loops). Further hydrogen bonds mediate the characteristic L-shaped molecular structure. tRNAs have two regions of fundamental functional importance: the anti-codon, which is responsible for specific mRNA codon recognition, and the 3' end, to which the tRNAs corresponding amino acid is attached (by aminoacyl-tRNA synthetases). tRNAs cope with the degeneracy of the genetic code in two manners: having more than one tRNA (with a specific anti-codon) for a particular amino acid; and 'wobble' base-pairing, i.e. permitting non-standard base-pairing at the 3rd anti-codon position. The record is from Rfam by way of RNAcentral. Lineage: Eukaryota; Metazoa; Chordata; Mammalia; Carnivora; Felidae.
GCCUGGGUAGCUCAGUUGGUUGAGCACCCAGCUUCGGCUUAGGUCAUGGGCUCACGGUUCACGGGUUCAAGCCCCGUGUCUGGCU